RNAcentral lists this ribosomal RNA (253 nucleotides) under uncultured bacterium. RNAcentral describes it as "partial 16S ribosomal RNA". It matches the Rfam family "Bacterial small subunit ribosomal RNA", at positions 524 to 776 of the family's 1533-position model. The record is from RNAcentral.
UACAGAGGGGGCAAGCGUUGUUCGGAAUUACUGGGCGUAAAGGGCGCGUAGGCGGCGACUCUAGUCAGAUGUGAAAGUCCUGGGCUUAACCUGGGGACUGCAUUUGAUACUGGGUUGCUUGAAUUCGGGAGAGGAUAGCGGAAUUCCCAGUGUAGAGGUGAAAUUCGUAGAUAUUGGGAAGAACACCGGUGGCGAAGGCGGCUAUCUGGACCGACAUUGACGCUGAGGCGCGAAAGCGCGGGGAGCAAACAGG